ACGGCGGUCACUCAGACAGACGGUGCCUACUAAAAGCAGCCGACCACCUUUCAAAACAAGAAGAGGGUCCUGCUGGGAGACACUGGCAGGAGAAGUCCCCGUUGUACUACAAGAACAUCAGUCUGGGCUUCAAGAGGCUAUUGAGGGCGCCCACAUUGACAAGAAAUGCCCCUUCACUGGGAAUGUCUCCAUUCGAGGGUGGGUCCUCUCUGGCGUGGUGACCAAGACGAAGAUGCAGAGGAUCAUUGUCAUCUGCCGAGACUGCACUACAUCUGCAAGUACAACCGCUUCAAGAAGGGCCACAAGAACAUGUCCGUACAACUGUCCCCCUGCUUCAGGGACGUCCAGAUCAGUGACAUCGUCACAGUGGGCGAGUGCCAGCCCCUGAGCAAGACGGUGCGCUUCGAUGUGCUCAAGGUCACCAAGGCCGCCAGCACCAAGAAGCAGUUCCAGG
Molecule: long non-coding RNA, 454 nt
Filed under: Homo sapiens (human)
Lineage: Eukaryota; Metazoa; Chordata; Mammalia; Primates; Hominidae
Description: non-protein coding lnc-GREM2-9:1
Source: RNAcentral